UACGAAUGAUGAGGUAGUUGUUGCUCUUAAUUCAAUUGAGUCCUCUUAAGGCAGCUAGAGAGGAUGGUUUGGGAGUUGUGUUUUAUCAACGUUUUCGGCAUAUCGUUGGCAAUAAUGUCUCAUGCUUCUGUAUUGACAUAUUAAAAGGUGAUGCACCUUUUUAUUCCAUUAAUCAUACACAUUGUUUUAAUCCCCAAAGUUAACGGUCCCAGCAACAUAACUCAUUUUUGUCUUAUUAGUCUAUAUAAUGUUCUAUUUAAAAUUACAUAAAAAUGUAGUGAACAUAUUUCAAAAGGUGUUCUACCUUUGCAUCGAUAAGGCCCAAAGCGUAUUGUUCUUAAUUGUCUUAUUUCGGAUAACGUGGUAGCUACAUAUAAAAUCCUCCAUACUCUUAAGAAUAGGAAGGUGGGUCGAUAGGGAUCCUUUGCUCUCAAGUUCGAUACGAAUAAGGCUUAUGACCAUGUGUAGUGGAAUUUAUUGAAACCAUGUUACUAACGAUGGGCUUUUCUUCAGGGUGGGUGAAUGGCAUUAUAUGGUUUCUCUUCAAUCACUUAUUCUGUUGUGGUGAAUGGUCAGAUAGGGGAGAACUUUACUCCGACAAAAGGUCUUUGUCAGGGGGAUCCGUUGAGCCUCUACUUGUUUCUCAUUUGUGAGGA
This 656-nucleotide long non-coding RNA is filed under the name Gossypium raimondii (Peruvian cotton). RNAcentral's name for it is "long non-coding RNA (GRAI_LNC010735)". Lineage: Eukaryota; Viridiplantae; Streptophyta; Magnoliopsida; Malvales; Malvaceae. The record is from RNAcentral.